Molecule: long non-coding RNA, 459 nt
Organism: Zonotrichia leucophrys gambelii
Lineage: Eukaryota; Metazoa; Chordata; Aves; Passeriformes; Passerellidae
Exons: 3
Source: RefSeq, a predicted model, not a curated record
GCUGGCACAGGACAGGAGCAGAGCGGCCGAGCACCUGCGCCGGGCCCUGCGCUACCUGGAGAGCCCACAGGAGCCCCUGCGAGAGGCGGCCGUCAGGUUCAUGGGGUCCGCCCAGGUACUCAUGAGGGGCCAGAAGGAAGAGCUCGAGGUCCUCAAUGAGGCCAUUCACACCCAGAAGAAAGGCAGUUUGUCCCACUGUAGCAGGAAUAUUCAAGCCCAGUUUACCAGCAGAGCUGAAGAAUUAACUUCAUCUUAAGGAUCCAGUGAAUCAGUGACGUAAGAACAGCACCAGAAGACACUGAAGAGGACGCCAUCUCCCAUUGCCACUGGAGUUCCAGACACAGCUGAUGAUUGGCACAGCUGAGCUUGUUGGACGCUUGUGUGGCUUCAGCCCUCCCCCUGCCUGUAGAUAGCUACCUCCCUCCAGCUCUCACACCGUGUCCAUCCCCUUUGGUUCCA